RNAcentral lists this unclassified non-coding RNA (247 nucleotides) under uncultured Xylariales. Its description in RNAcentral is "sequence contains 5.8S rRNA gene, ITS2, 28S rRNA gene". The record is from RNAcentral. Lineage: Eukaryota; Fungi; Ascomycota; Sordariomycetes; Xylariales.
AACGCACAUUGCGCCCAUUAGUAUUCUAGUGGGCAUGCCUGUUCGAGCGUCAUUUCAACCCUUAAGCCUAGCUUAGUGUUGGGAAUCUGCUGUAUUGCAGUUCCUCAAAUACAACGGCGGAUCUGUAACAUCCUCUGAGCGUAGUAAAUUUUUAUCUCGCUUUUGUUAGGUGUUGCAGCUCUCAGCCGCUAAACCCCCAAUUUUUGUGGUUGACCUCGGAUCAGGUAGGAAUACCCGCUGAACUUAA